AUUGAACGCUGGCGGCAUGCUUUACACAUGCAAGUCGAACGGCAGCGCGGGCUUCGGCCUGGCGGCGAGUGGCGAACGGGUGAGUAAUGCAUCGGAACGUGCCCAGUAGUGGGGGAUAGCCCGGCGAAAGCCGGAUUAAUACCGCAUACGACCUGCGGGUGCAAGCGGGGGACCGAAAGGCCUCGCGCGAUUGGAGCGGCCGAUGCGGGAUUAGCUAGUUGGUGGGGUAAGGGCUUACCAAGGCGACGAUCCGUAGCUGGUCUGAGAGGACGACCAGCCACCCUGGGACUGGGCCACGGCCCAGACUCCUACGGGAGGCAGCAGUGGGGAAUUUUGGACAAUGGGGGCAACCCUGAUCCAGCCAUGCCGCGUGCGGGAAGAAGGCCUUCGGGUUGUAAACCGCUUUUGUUCGGGAAGAAAUCCUCUGGGCUAAUACCCCGGGGGGAUGACGGUACCGGAAGAAUAAGCACCGGCUAACUACGUG
RNAcentral lists this ribosomal RNA (484 nucleotides) under uncultured bacterium. RNAcentral's name for it is "partial 16S ribosomal RNA". It matches the Rfam family "Bacterial small subunit ribosomal RNA", at positions 28 to 507 of the family's 1533-position model. The record is from RNAcentral.